UACAGGGGUGCAAACGUUGCUCGGAAUUAUUGGGCGUAAAGCGCGCGUAGGCGGCUACUUAAGUCGGAUGUUAAAUCCCUCGGCUUAACCGAGGAACUGCCUUCCAGACUGUCUGGCUUGAGACCGGGAGAGGUGAGUGGAAUUCCCAGUGUAGCGGUGAAAUGCGUAGAUAUUGGGAGGAACACCAGUGGCGAAGGCGGCUCACUGGACCGGUACUGACGCUGAGGCGCGAAAGCGUGGGGAGCAAACAGG
RNAcentral lists this ribosomal RNA (252 nucleotides) under uncultured bacterium. RNAcentral describes it as "partial 16S ribosomal RNA". It matches the Rfam family "Bacterial small subunit ribosomal RNA", at positions 524 to 776 of the family's 1533-position model. The record is from RNAcentral.